CCGAUUGCGCUAGCUUCAUCCAGCUAAAACAGAGCUGAGUAACAAUUUUCAGUUUGGACCGGAGGGUUGAAACGAUGGGAAUGAAGAAACGGAGGAAGAGGAGGAGCUGCUGUUGCCUUCAGCUCCAUGAAUGAAUCAAUGAACGACACCUACCUCUGGUCCGAUGUUAGCGAGGAAUUUCAUCAUGAAGCCGUGCCAGUUGCUGCUGUAAAGGAGAAGCGUUGCAGUUUCUCCUCGCUUCUCAGCAGUGUGGACCUUCCCAGCGUGCAGGAGCUGCAGACAGAAAAAGUGAGACGCAGUUCAGACAGCUGACGUCGGUGACAUGGCCCAUAACCUGCUGAGUCACAGGGACGCUCCUGAUCAACCUCCUAUU
Long non-coding RNA from Gambusia affinis (western mosquitofish), 373 nucleotides. RefSeq lists it as uncharacterized. The transcript has 3 exons. The record is from RefSeq and is a predicted model, not a curated record. NCBI's taxonomy places the organism in Eukaryota, Metazoa, Chordata, Actinopteri, Cyprinodontiformes, Poeciliidae.